GACGAACGCUGGCGGCGUGCUUAACACAUGCAAGUCGAACGGAAAGGCCCUGCUUGCAGGGUACUCGAGUGGCGAACGGGUGAGUAACACGUGGGUGAUCUGCCAUGCACUUCGGGAUAAGCCUGGGAAACUGGGUCUAAUACCGGAUAGGAGCCAUUUUUAGUGUGAUGGUUGGAAAGUUUUUUCGGUGUAGGAUGAGCUCGCGGCCUAUCAGCUUGUUGGUGGGGUAAUGGCCUACCAAGGCGGCGACGGGUAGCCGGCCUGAGAGGGUGGACGGCCACAUUGGGACUGAGAUACAGCCCAGACUCCUACGGGAGGCAGCAGUGGGGAAUAUUGCACAAUGGGCGCAAGCCUGAUGCAGCGACGCCGCGUGGGGGAUGACGGCCUUCGGGUUGUAAACUCCUUUCGCUAGGGACGAAGCUUUUUGUGACGGUACCUAGAUAAGAAGCACCGGCUAACUACGUG
Molecule: ribosomal RNA, 465 nt
Filed under: uncultured bacterium
Lineage: Bacteria
Description: partial 16S ribosomal RNA
Rfam family: Bacterial small subunit ribosomal RNA
Source: RNAcentral